RNAcentral lists this ribosomal RNA (476 nucleotides) under uncultured Streptococcus sp. Its description in RNAcentral is "bacterial SSU rRNA". It matches the Rfam family "Bacterial small subunit ribosomal RNA", at positions 902 to 1382 of the family's 1533-position model. Lineage: Bacteria; Bacillati; Bacillota; Bacilli; Lactobacillales; Streptococcaceae. The record is from RNAcentral.
CAAAGGAAUUGACGGGGGCCCGCACAAGCGGUGGAGCAUGUGGUUAAUUCGAAGCAACGCGAAGAACCUUACAGGUCUUGACAUCCCGAUGCUAUUUCUAGAGAUAGAAAGUUACUUCGGUACAUCGGUGACAGGUGGUGCAUGGUUGUCGUCAGCUCGUGUCGUGAGAUGUUGGGUUAAGUCCCGCAACGAGCGCAACCCCUAUUGUUAGUUGCCAUCAUUCAGUUGGGCACUCUAGCGAGACUGCCGGUAAUAAACCGGAGGAAGUGGGGAUGACGUCAAAUCAUCAUGCCCCUUAUGACCUGGGCUACACACGUGCUACAAUGGUUGGUACAACGAGUUGCGAGUCGGUGACGGCGAGCUAAUCUCUUAAAGCCAAUCUCAGUUUGGAUUGUAGGCUGCAACUCGCCUACAUGAAGUCGGAAUCGCUAGUAAUCGCGGAUCAGCACGCCGCGGUGAAUACGUUCCCGGGCCUU